CAACUUUCAGCAACGGAUCUCUUGGUUCUCGCAUCGAUGAAAAACGCACCGAAAUGCGAUAAGUAAGGUGAAUUGCAAAAUUCAGUGAAUCAUCAAAUCUUUGAACGCACCUUGCGCCUCUUGGUAUUCCAAGAGGCAUGCCUGUUUGAGUGUCAUUU
Molecule: ribosomal RNA, 158 nt
Filed under: Marasmius oreades (fairy-ring Marasmius)
Lineage: Eukaryota; Fungi; Basidiomycota; Agaricomycetes; Agaricales; Marasmiaceae
Description: 5.8S ribosomal RNA
Rfam family: 5.8S ribosomal RNA
About the family: 5.8S ribosomal RNA (5.8S rRNA) is a component of the large subunit of the eukaryotic ribosome.
Source: RNAcentral